UCGCUAGUAAUCGCGGAUCAGCACGCCGCGGUGAAUACGUUCCCGGGCCUUGUACACACCGCCCGUCACACCACGAGAGUUUGUAACACCCGAAGUCGGUGAGGUAACCUUUUGGAGCCAGCCGCCUAAGGUGGGAUAGAUGAUUGGGGUGAAGUCGUAACAAGGUAGCCGUAUCGGAAGGUGCGGCUGGAUCACCUCCUUUCUAAGGAA
This 210-nucleotide ribosomal RNA is filed under the name Enterococcus hirae. Its description in RNAcentral is "partial 16S ribosomal RNA". It matches the Rfam family "Bacterial small subunit ribosomal RNA", at positions 1332 to 1533 of the family's 1533-position model. The record is from RNAcentral. Lineage: Bacteria; Bacillati; Bacillota; Bacilli; Lactobacillales; Enterococcaceae.